RNAcentral lists this ribosomal RNA (253 nucleotides) under uncultured bacterium. Its description in RNAcentral is "partial 16S ribosomal RNA". It matches the Rfam family "Bacterial small subunit ribosomal RNA", at positions 524 to 776 of the family's 1533-position model. The record is from RNAcentral.
UACGGAGGGUGCAAACGUUGCUCGGAAUCAUUGGGCGUAAAGCGCACGUAGGCGGUCCAGCAAGUCGCGUGUGAAAGCCCCCGGCUCAACUGGGGAGGGUCACGCGAUACUGAUCGACUCGAAGGCAGGAGAGGGUAGUGGAAUUCCCGGUGUAGUGGUGAAAUGCGUAGAUAUCGGGAGGAACACCAGUGGCGAAGGCGACUACCUGGCCUGUUCUUGACGCUGAGGCGCGAAAGCUAGGGGAGCAAACGGG